GGGUGACGCGCGAGGGGAGGAGGAAGCAAAUUAAUACAGGCGAGCAAGAGGGUCCAGCUAACGAACGAACCGACGCCAAGUCUAGUGCCGACCAGCGCCGCGACGCCUCGCAAUCCUCUCUCCCUGUCUCUUCUCUUCUGUUCUCGCUGUCGCUCCGUAUUCAGCAGGGGAGCUACGCUCAGCUCGUCUGGGACGUUUCGAAUCUUGAUCGGCGCUCAGUAAUAACGCAAAACCGAUUGGGUCAGUUUUCAGGAUGAGAUACGCGUCACGUAUAAGUGAGCAGUGUAAGCCCCGCGAGUCGAUGGGCCAAUCGCCUCACUCUCGUGAGGUCCAUCCGUGUCGUUGAGCGCGAUUCUUUCACGACGACAACGAAGUGUGAAGGUACCCUUACGACGAUACCGGGUUUGACAGUGAAAGAUAGGAUUUCUUUUUGUCUUUGUUUCGUACCGCGACCAAAGCGCACGUUACGUGACGUGUAAAGAGCAACGGUCUUCCCGGAAUUCGCUGAUGAUCUUAUCGUUGUUCAGCCCCACCACGAACGAUGCAUUUUUUCCUAUAUACGGCCAUUUCACGCCAUUUUACGCCUUUCAACAUUGCAAUUCAGUGUGUGUGUAAUUAAACGAACACAUUUCACAAACGUAACAAAAAUAACCCAUCGUCUGGUAGAUGGAAUGUUGAAUAUACGGAGGUACGCGAGCCAGCAAUGAUAAUUUCGAGAAACUUACAAUAUAAGAGAUGCAGGAGUAGAGGCAGGGUGUAAAUAAAUAUUCUCCGGCACGUAUAACGAGAUGUAAACGAAGACCGAAGUAAAGGAUACCGAGUAUCUGAUGAAUAAAUUCCAAGGCAAGUGUCACAAAUGUGCUAGAUAUUUAAGUAGUAUUAAUUAGACGUAUAUAUAUAUGUCACAAAUAAAGAAAUUUCACUUAAAUAUGCCGAUUCUAAUUGAAGAUGAUGCUAUUGCAUAUCGUUACAUUUUCUGUUCGGAUAUUCUCGAUUAUUUUUCCAUAAUGUUCCAAAAUACUAAUUUUGGUUUGCCUCACUGUGGCUUUUCUAAUGUUUAAAUAUAUUUCUCUAAACAAUAUAUUUAAUAUAA
Molecule: long non-coding RNA, 1093 nt
Filed under: Pogonomyrmex barbatus (red harvester ant)
Lineage: Eukaryota; Metazoa; Arthropoda; Insecta; Hymenoptera; Formicidae
Description: uncharacterized LOC105432200, transcript variant X1
Source: RNAcentral